UGGCUUGGUUUCCUGGGGGGUGGGCUCAGCAUACCCUACCUCCCCUCAGCCAAGCCUAGAGCAGAGAGGCCAGGGCAUCCUCCCUGUGGGAGAGGCAUUCAAGUAAGGGGCCUCGCCUGGGCUGUCCAAGCCUCACAUUG
Small nucleolar RNA from Otolemur garnettii (small-eared galago), 140 nucleotides. The record is from Ensembl. NCBI's taxonomy places the organism in Eukaryota, Metazoa, Chordata, Mammalia, Primates, Galagidae.